Molecule: ribosomal RNA, 960 nt
Filed under: Bacillus sp. HZBN85
Lineage: Bacteria; Bacillati; Bacillota; Bacilli; Caryophanales; Bacillaceae
Description: bacterial SSU rRNA
Rfam family: Bacterial small subunit ribosomal RNA
Source: RNAcentral
UCUGACGGAGCAACGCCGCGUGAACGAUGAAGGCUUUCGGGUCGUAAAGUUCUGUUGUCAGGGAAGAACAAGUACCGGAGUAACUGCCGGUACCUUGACGGUACCUGACCAGAAAGCCACGGCUAACUACGUGCCAGCAGCCGCGGUAAUACGUAGGUGGCAAGCGUUGUCCGGAAUUAUUGGGCGUAAAGCGCGCGCAGGCGGUUCCUUAAGUCUGAUGUGAAAGCCCCCGGCUCAACCGGGGAGGGUCAUUGGAAACUGGGGAACUUGAGUGCAGAAGAGGAGAGCGGAAUUCCACGUGUAGCGGUGAAAUGCGUAGAGAUGUGGAGGAACACCAGUGGCGAAGGCGGCUCUCUGGUCUGUAACUGACGCUGAGGCGCGAAAGCGUGGGGAGCGAACAGGAUUAGAUACCCUGGUAGUCCACGCCGUAAACGAUGAGUGCUAAGUGUUAGAGGGUUUCCGCCCUUUAGUGCUGCAGCAAACGCAUUAAGCACUCCGCCUGGGGAGUACGGCCGCAAGGCUGAAACUCAAAGGAAUUGACGGGGGCCCGCACAAGCGGUGGAGCAUGUGGUUUAAUUCGAAGCAACGCGAAGAACCUUACCAGGUCUUGACAUCCUCUGACAACCCUAGAGAUAGGGCGUUCCCCUUCGGGGGACAGAGUGACAGGUGGUGCAUGGUUGUCGUCAGCUCGUGUCGUGAGAUGUUGGGUUAAGUCCCGCAACGAGCGCAACCCUUGAUCUUAGUUGCCAGCAUUCAGUUGGGCACUCUAAGGUGACUGCCGGUGACAAACCGGAGGAAGGUGGGGAUGACGUCAAAUCAUCAUGCCCCUUAUGACCUGGGCUACACACGUGCUACAAUGGAUGGAACAAAGGGUCGCGAAGCCGCGAGGUCGAGCCAAUCCCAUAAAUCCAUUCUCAGUUCGGAUUGCAGGCUGCAACUCGCCUGCAUGAAGCCGGAAUC